UCUAUGGCUAGAUAAAGUACAAGUCGUAACAAGGUUUCAGUUGGAGAACCAGCUGAAGGAUCAUUU
This 66-nucleotide ribosomal RNA is filed under the name Enterocytozoon bieneusi. RNAcentral describes it as "partial small subunit ribosomal RNA". It matches the Rfam family "Eukaryotic small subunit ribosomal RNA", at positions 1766 to 1831 of the family's 1831-position model. The record is from RNAcentral. Lineage: Eukaryota; Fungi; Microsporidia; Enterocytozoonidae.